UGGCGGCAGGCCUAACACAUGCAAGUCGAGCGGCAGCGGGUCCUUCGGGAUGCCGGCGAGCGGCGGACGGGUGAGUAAUGCCUAGGAAUCUGCCUGAUAGUGGGGGAUAACGUUCGGAAACGGACGCUAAUACCGCAUACGUCCUACGGGAGAAAGCGGGGGAUCUUCGGACCUCGCGCUAUCAGAUGAGCCUAGGUCGGAUUAGCUAGUUGGUGGGGUAAUGGCUCACCAAGGCGACGAUCCGUAACUGGUCUGAGAGGAUGAUCAGUCACACUGGAACUGAGACACGGUCCAGACUCCUACGGGAGGCAGCAGUGGGGAAUAUUGGACAAUGGGCGAAAGCCUGAUCCAGCCAUGCCGCGUGUGUGAAGAAGGUCUUCGGAUUGUAAAGCACUUUAAGUUGGGAGGAAGGGCAGUAAGCUAAUAUCUUGCUGUUUUGACGUUACCAACAGAAUAAGCACCGGCUAACUUCGUGCCAGCAGCCGCGGUAAUACGAAGGGUGCAAGCGUUAAUCGGAAUUACUGGGCGUAAAGCGCGCGUAGGUGGUUCAGCAAGUUGGAUGUGAAAGCCCCGGGCUCAACCUGGGAACUGCAUCCAAAACUACUGAGCUAGAGUACGGUAGAGGGUGGUGGAAUUUCCUGUGUAGCGGUGAAAUGCGUAGAUAUAGGAAGGAACACCAGUGGCGAAGGCGACCACCUGGACUGAUACUGACACUGAGGUGCGAAAGCGUGGGGAGCAAACAGGAUUAGAUACCCUGGUAGUCCACGCCGUAAACGAUGUCGACUAGCCGUUGGGUUCCUUGAGAACUUAGUGGCGCAGCUAACGCGAUAAGUCGACCGCCUGGGGAGUACGGCCGCAAGGUUAAAACUCAAAUGAAUUGA
RNAcentral lists this ribosomal RNA (881 nucleotides) under Pseudomonas sp. EA_S_39. RNAcentral describes it as "bacterial SSU rRNA". It matches the Rfam family "Bacterial small subunit ribosomal RNA", at positions 37 to 913 of the family's 1533-position model. Lineage: Bacteria; Pseudomonadati; Pseudomonadota; Gammaproteobacteria; Pseudomonadales; Pseudomonadaceae. The record is from RNAcentral.